AUGCACCACAUCUCUACUACUACAUGGACGGUGAGCGCUUCGGUCAAAGAAUGGUGGGACAGCAACCUUCAGAUUCGUCUCGGCUCUCCCAAAGCCCUAGCCUCAUUGAUGAUGCUCAUCUCUUGGGAGGUUUGGACUGAGAGAAAUGCUAGAGUCUUUCGCAACGUGGCGGUUCCAUCGGUGGUCAUCAUCAACAACAUCAAGCAUGAGGCGUCGCUUUGGGCUUUGGCGGGUGCCAAGCACUUGAGUAUUGUAAUGCCGCGAGAGUAA
RNAcentral lists this ribosomal RNA (270 nucleotides) under Triticum aestivum (bread wheat). Its description in RNAcentral is "partial small subunit ribosomal RNA". Lineage: Eukaryota; Viridiplantae; Streptophyta; Magnoliopsida; Poales; Poaceae. The record is from RNAcentral.